Molecule: ribosomal RNA, 498 nt
Filed under: uncultured bacterium
Lineage: Bacteria
Description: partial 16S ribosomal RNA
Rfam family: Bacterial small subunit ribosomal RNA
Source: RNAcentral
AUUGAACGCUGGCGGCAUGCCUUACACAUGCAAGUCGAACGGUAACAGGUCUUCGGAUGCUGACGAGUGGCGAACGGGUGGGUAAUACAUCGGACCGUGCCUAGUAGCGGGGGAUAACUACUCGAAAGAGUGGCUAAUACCGCAUGAGAUCUACGGAUGAAAGCAGGGGAUCGCACGACCUUGUGCUACUAGAGCGGCCGAUGGCAGAUACGGUAGUUGUUGGGAUAAAAGCUUACCAAGCCGACGAUCUGUAGCUGGUCUGAGAGGACGAUCAGCCACACUGGGACUGAGACACGGCCCAGACUCCUACGGGAGGCAGCAGUGGGGAAUUUUGGACAAUGGGCGCAAGCCUGAUCCAGCAAUGCCGCGUGCAGGAUGAAGGCCUUCGGGUUGUAAACUGCUUUUGUACGGAACGAAAAGCCCCGGGUUAAUACCCUGGGGUCAUGACGGUACCGUAAGAAUAAGCACCGGCUAACUACGUGCCAGCAGCCGCGGUAA